GACGAACGCUGGCGGCGUGCUUAACACAUGCAAGUCGAACGGAAAGGCCCUGCUUUUGUGGGGUGCUCGAGUGGCGAACGGGUGAGUAACACGUGAGUAACCUGCCCUUGACUUUGGGAUAACUUCAGGAAACUGGGGCUAAUACCGGAUAGGAGCUCCUGCUGCAUGGUGGGGGUUGGAAAGUUUCGGCGGUUGGGGAUGGACUCGCGGCUUAUCAGCUUGUUGGUGGGGUAGUGGCUUACCAAGGCUUUGACGGGUAGCCGGCCUGAGAGGGUGACCGGCCACAUUGGGACUGGGAUACGGCCCAGACUCCUACGGGAGGCAGCAGUGGGGAAUAUUGCACAAUGGGCGGAAGCCUGAUGCAGCAACGCCGCGUGCGGGAGGACGGCCUUCGGGUUGUAAACCGCUUUCGCCUGUGACGAAGCGUGAGUGACGGUAAUGGGUAAAGAAGCACCGGCUAACUACGU
Molecule: ribosomal RNA, 467 nt
Filed under: uncultured bacterium
Lineage: Bacteria
Description: partial 16S ribosomal RNA
Rfam family: Bacterial small subunit ribosomal RNA
Source: RNAcentral